RNAcentral lists this ribosomal RNA (345 nucleotides) under uncultured bacterium. RNAcentral's name for it is "bacterial SSU rRNA". It matches the Rfam family "Bacterial small subunit ribosomal RNA", at positions 570 to 913 of the family's 1533-position model. The record is from RNAcentral.
CGUAGGUGGUUAUGUAAGUGAAUGGUGAAAUCCCCGGGCUUAACCUGGGAAUUGCCAUUUAAACUGCAUAGCUUGAGUGCAAUAGAGGGUAGUGGAAUUUCCGGUGUAGCGGUGAAAUGCGUAGAUAUCGGAAGGAACACCAGUGGCGAAGGCGGCUACCUGGAUUGACACUGACACUGAGGCGCGAGAGCGUGGGGAGCAAACAGGAUUAGAUACCCUGGUAGUCCACGCUGUAAACGAUGAAAACUAGAUGUUGUUGGGCUUAGACCCAUCAGUAUCGAAGCUAACGCGAUAAGUUUUCCGCCUGGGGAGUACGGUCGCAAGAUUAAAACUCAAAGGAAUUGA